This 253-nucleotide ribosomal RNA is filed under the name uncultured bacterium. RNAcentral describes it as "partial 16S ribosomal RNA". It matches the Rfam family "Bacterial small subunit ribosomal RNA", at positions 524 to 776 of the family's 1533-position model. The record is from RNAcentral.
UACGUAGGGGGCUAGCGUUGUCCGGAAUCAUUGGGCGUAAAGAGCGUGUAGGCGGUCCGGCAAGUCUGCUGUGAAAGUCGGGGGCUCAACCCUCGAAUGCCGGUGGAUACUGUCGGGCUAGAGUGCGGAAGAGGCGAGUGGAAUUCCUGGUGUAGCGGUGAAAUGCGCAGAUAUCAGGAGGAACACCGAUUGCGAAGGCAGCUCGCUGGGACGUAACUGACGCUGAGACGCGAAAGCGUGGGGAGCAAACAGG